GCCCCUCAGGGUCUCCAUCACCCAACUCCAUGCUUCGAGUCCUGCUCUCUGCUCAGACCUCCCCUGCUCGGCUGUCUGGCCUGCUGCUGAUCCCUCCAGUACAGCCCUGCUGUUUGGGGCCCAGCAAAUGGGGGGACCGGCCUGUUGGAGGAGGCCCCAGUGCAGGUCCUGUGCAAGGACUGCAGCGGCUUCUGGAACAGGCGAAGAGCCCUGGGGAGCUGCUGCGCUGGCUGGGCCAGAACCCCAGCAAGGUGCGCGCCCACCACUACUCGGUGGCGCUUCGUCGUCUGGGCCAGCUCUUGGGGUCUCGGCCACGGCCCCCUCCUGUGGAGCAGGUCACACUGCAGGACUUGAGUCAGCUCAUCAUCCGAAACUGCCCCUCCUUUGACAUUCACACCAUCCACGUGUGUCUGCACCUUGCAGUCUUACUUGGUGGUACAGAAGUUGGUCCUGCCCUUUGGGCGACUGAACUACCUGCCCCUGGAACAGCAGUUUAUGCCCUGCCUUGAGAGGAUCCUGGCUCGGGAAGCAGGGGUGGCACCCCUGGCUACAGUCAACAUCUUGAUGUCACUGUGCCAACUGCGGUGCCUGCCCUUCAGAGCCCUGCACUUUGUUUUUUCCCCUGGCUUCAUCAACUACAUCAGUGGUACGCAGCCAGGAUGGCUGGCUGGGCCCGAGGGCUGGAGAGGCAGGGGAGCAGGGUGGCCUGCAGCCCAGAGCCCCAGUCCCCGCCUCCCCACAGGCACCCCUCAUGCUCUGAUUGUGCGUCGCUACCUCUCCCUGCUGGACACGGCCGUGGAGCUGGAGCUCCCAGGAUACCGGGG
RNAcentral lists this small RNA (824 nucleotides) under Pan troglodytes (chimpanzee). RNAcentral's name for it is "processed transcript". The record is from RNAcentral. Lineage: Eukaryota; Metazoa; Chordata; Mammalia; Primates; Hominidae.